AUUAGGUGAAGUCAAUGAUCCCAUGCUGCCAAGAAAAGCCUCUAGCGAGCUUCGAGCGGCCCGUACCCCAAACCGACACAGGUGGUCAGGUAGAGAAUACCGAGGCGAUCGGGCGAACUGUGGUUAAGGAACUCGGCAAAUUACCCCCGUAACUUCGGGAGAAGGGGGGCCACAGACUGUCAUACCCCACGCGGGUGGCAGCAGUAGGUGGCCGCAGAGACCAGGGGGAAGCGACUGUUUACUAAAAACACAGGUCCGUGCGAAGUCGUAAGACGAUGUAUACGGACUGACGCCUGCCCGGUGCUGGAACGUUAAGGGGACCGGUUAGUCCGCAAGGGCGAAGCUGAGAACUUAAGCGCCAGUAAACGGCGGUGGUAACUAUAACCAUCCUAAGGUAGCGAAAUUCCUUGUCGGGUAAGUUCCGACCUGCACGAAUGGCGUAACGACUUCCCUACUGUCUCAACCACAGGCCCGGCGAAAUUGCACUACGAGUAAAGAUGCUCGUUACGCGCGGAAGGACGGAAAGACCCCGGGACCUUCACUAUAGCUUGACAUUGGUAUCCGAAUUUAAUUGUGUAGGAUAGGUGGGAGGCUUUGAUCCGCGGACGCCAGUCCGUCGGGGAGCCAACGUUGAAAUACCACUCUGUUGAAUUUGGGUAUCUAACUUCGGACCGUGAUCCGGUUCAGGGACAGUGUCUGGUGGGUAGUUUAACUGGGGCGGUUGCCUCCUAAAAUGUAACGGAGGCGCCCAAAGGUUCCCUCAGCCUGGUUGGCAAUCAGGUGUUGAGUGCAAGUGCACAAGGGAGCUUGACUGUGAGACUGACAGGUCGAGCAGGGACGAAAGUCGGGACUAGUGAUCCGGCACCUGCGAGUGGAAGCGGUGUCGCUCAACGGAUAAAAGGUACCCCGGGGAUAACAGGCUGAUCUUCCCCAAGAGUCCAUAUCGACGGGAUGGUUUGGCACCUCGAUGUCGGCUCGUCGCAUCCUGGGGCUGGAGUAGGUCCCAAGGGUUGGGCUGUUCGCCCAUUAAAGCGGCACGCGAGCUGGGUUUAGAACGUCGUGAGACAGUUCGGUCCCUAUCCUCCGCGCGCGUAGGAGACUUGAGAAGAGCUGUCCCUAGUACGAGAGGACCGGGACGGACGAACCUCUGGUGUGCCAGUUGUCAUGCCAAUGGCACGGCUGGUUAGCUACGUUCGGAAGGGAUAACCGCUGAAAGCAUCUAAGCGGGAAGCUCGCUUCAAGAUGAGGUCUCCCACCCCUUCGAGGGUUAAGGCCCCCAGCUAGACCACUGGGUUGAUAGGCCAGAAGUGUAAGCCUGGUAACAGGUUCAGCCGACUGGUACUAAUAGGCCGAGGACUUCACC
This 1363-nucleotide ribosomal RNA is filed under the name metagenome. RNAcentral describes it as "bacterial LSU rRNA". It matches the Rfam family "Bacterial large subunit ribosomal RNA", at positions 1580 to 2925 of the family's 2925-position model. The record is from RNAcentral.